Molecule: long non-coding RNA, 204 nt
Filed under: Gossypium barbadense (sea-island cotton)
Lineage: Eukaryota; Viridiplantae; Streptophyta; Magnoliopsida; Malvales; Malvaceae
Description: long non-coding RNA (GBAR_LNC001110)
Source: RNAcentral
GCUCAGUUAACAGUAAAUUGAGGCAAAGCCUCCAGUACAUGGACAAGCCACUUUCAGUACUUCCUCCGUCAAUAUCCCAAUCCCAUGCAUCAGAUAAUAACAACAUGGCAUGCAGUAAAUAACAACAGUAAAACAUGCAUUUAGGUCAAUUUAACCCUAGGGGUAUUUCGGUAAUUUAUCUACUAUGGGUAAAACUGUAAAUUU